Molecule: ribosomal RNA, 458 nt
Filed under: uncultured bacterium
Lineage: Bacteria
Description: partial 16S ribosomal RNA
Rfam family: Bacterial small subunit ribosomal RNA
Source: RNAcentral
CCUACGGGUGGCAGCAGUGAGGAAUAUUGGUCACUGGGCGAGAGCCUGACCCAGCCAAGUCGCGUGAGGGAGUACUGCCCUAUGGGUUGUCAACCUCUUGUGUCGGGGAGCAACAGCAGGACGUGUCCGGCUGUGAGAGUACCCGAAGAAAAAGCAUCGGCUAACUCCGUGCCAGCAGCCGCGCUAAUACGUAGGAUUCGAGCGUUAUCCGGAUUUAUUGGGGUUAAAGGGUGCGCAGGCGGAUGUGUAAGUCAGCGGUCAAAUCGUGGGGCUCAACCCCAUCCAGCCGUUGAAACUGGGGAUCUAGAGUGUGCGAAAGGUAUGCGGAAUGCGUGGUGUAGCGGUGAAAUGCAUAGAUAUCACGCAGAACCCCGAUUGCGAAGGCAGCAUACCGGUGCACAACUGACGCUCAGGCACGAAAGCGUGGGUAUCGAACAGGAUUAGAUACCCCGGUAGUC